This 198-nucleotide ribosomal RNA is filed under the name uncultured bacterium. Its description in RNAcentral is "partial 16S ribosomal RNA". It matches the Rfam family "Bacterial small subunit ribosomal RNA", at positions 328 to 539 of the family's 1533-position model. The record is from RNAcentral.
ACGCUCGACACCUACGGGGGCAGCAGUGGGGAAUAUUGCACAAUGGGGGAAACCCUGAUGCAGCGACGCCGCGUGAGCGAAGAAGUAUUUCGGUAUGUAAAGCUCUAUCAGCAGGGAAGAAGAAAGACGGUACCUGACUAAGAAGCCCCGGCUAACUACGUGCCAGUAGCCGCGGUAAUCUGAGCGGGCUGGCAAGGC